GGUGGUGCAUGGUUGUCGUCAGCUCGUGUCGUGAGAUGUUGGGUUAAGUCCCGCAACGAGCGCAACCCUUAUUACUAGUUGCCAGCAUUUAGUUGGGCACUCUAGUGAGACUGCCGGUGACAAACCGGAGGAAGGUGGGGACGACGUCAAAUCAUCAUGCCCCUUAUGACCUGGGCUACACACGUGCUACAAUGGAUGGUACAACGAGUUGCGAGACCGCGAGGUUUAGCUAAUCUCUUAAAACCAUUCUCAGUUCGGAUUGUAGGCUGCAACUCGCCUACAUGAAGCCGGAAUCGCUAGUAAUCGCGGAUCAGCAUGCCGCGGUGAAUACGUUCCCGGGCCUUGUACAC
RNAcentral lists this ribosomal RNA (350 nucleotides) under uncultured Lactobacillus sp. RNAcentral's name for it is "bacterial SSU rRNA". It matches the Rfam family "Bacterial small subunit ribosomal RNA", at positions 1037 to 1388 of the family's 1533-position model. The record is from RNAcentral. Lineage: Bacteria; Bacillati; Bacillota; Bacilli; Lactobacillales; Lactobacillaceae.